CAGAAAUCCUCCUCAUCAAAAACAUGACUUUGAUCUGCGUCCUCAUCUGGACUCUCCUCUGCUUCACUCAGGGAUCUGAUGGACAAAAUGUUGUUGUGACUCAAUCAGCAGCCAAAUCAGUGCAGCUUGGUCAGACUGUCACUAUUGACUGUAAGGCCAGU
This is a long non-coding RNA of Xiphophorus couchianus (Monterrey platyfish), 161 nucleotides long. RefSeq lists it as uncharacterized. The record is from RefSeq and is a predicted model, not a curated record. The transcript is spliced from 2 exons. Lineage: Eukaryota; Metazoa; Chordata; Actinopteri; Cyprinodontiformes; Poeciliidae.